RNAcentral lists this long non-coding RNA (494 nucleotides) under Bos indicus x Bos taurus (hybrid cattle). RNAcentral's name for it is "lncRNA (ENSBIXG00005024038.1)". Lineage: Eukaryota; Metazoa; Chordata; Mammalia; Artiodactyla; Bovidae. The record is from RNAcentral.
GGAUUCAAGGUGUACAGCUUCCUGUGAGAAUGUAAACUGGCAGUUCUCUGUGGUGGCCUGCCGGGGUGCCAAAGGUCCUUUUAAUGCCUUUGAAAAGAUGCAUUGUCCUGAGUCAUCCAAGAGGAUGAACAGUGUGAGCUUGGAGCUAGACUGAAGACUCUCCGUCCUCUGCCUGAAUCCACAUGCAGUCCCUUUGGCAAUUGAAGUUACAAGGAUAACAUCUCUUUUGUUGACAUAAAACAUGGGAGCUUCAGUGGCAGGAUCUCAUUAUCUGAUUACAGAUGUGACUUUGAAGUAAUCUCUCUGAAUGAGCAUUUUAGGAAGAGUUGUUGCUCCCAGGCCAAGCCCAAGGUUGUGGAAGAGGAUUUGCAAAGGGCAUCAGAAAAGAUGACUGAAAGGGUUCUCCAUUCCCAAGCAAGAGGGAACCCUGAUGGCCAGAAGGAACACAGGAACCACAGCGCAUGGCACAGAACAGUGACCAGGAAGGCCGAAGG